UUGGGGGUCCCCCUGAUUUGGGGGUCCCCCUCGGUUUUCGGGGCGCAGCUGCUGAAGAAGAUGAGCUCCAGUGACACCCCGCUGGGCACGGUGGCGCUGCUGCAGGAGAAGCAGCGCGCGCAGAAGACGCCGUACAUCGUGCUGAGCGGCUCCGGCAAGAGCAUGAACGCGAACACCAUCACCAAGUGAGGGACACCUGGGGACACCUUGGGGACAUCGCCAGACACCCUGGGGACACCCUGGGACUCCUCAGGACACCCCUGGAACCCUGGGGUCACCCUGGGGACACCCCUGGGGACAUUCCUGUGACAUUCCUGGAACCCUGGGGACACCCCUGUCCCCUCCCCGCCCCUGGGGACAAUAAAAGCCUCCGGGAGUCA
Passer montanus (Eurasian tree sparrow) is the source of this 380-nucleotide long non-coding RNA. RefSeq lists it as uncharacterized. The transcript has 2 exons. Lineage: Eukaryota; Metazoa; Chordata; Aves; Passeriformes; Passeridae. The record is from RefSeq and is a predicted model, not a curated record.